AUACGUAGGGAGCGAGCGUUACCCGGAAUUACUGGGCGUAAAGUGCGCGUAGGCGGCUUGGUAAGUCCCUUUUGAAAGCUCCCGGCUUAACUGGGAGAGGUGAGGGGAAACUACUUGGCUUGAGGACAGCAGAGGAAAGCGGAAUUCCCGGUGUGGCGGUGAAAUGCGUAGAUAUCGGGAGGAACACCAGUGGCGAAGGCGGCUUUCUGGGCUGCACCUGACGCUGAGGCGCGAGAGCGUGGGGAGCAAACAGGAUUAGAUACCCCAGUAGUCC
RNAcentral lists this ribosomal RNA (274 nucleotides) under uncultured bacterium. Its description in RNAcentral is "partial 16S ribosomal RNA". It matches the Rfam family "Bacterial small subunit ribosomal RNA", at positions 523 to 796 of the family's 1533-position model. The record is from RNAcentral.